GAUGAACGCUGGCGGCGUGCCUAAUACAUGCAAGUCGAGCGAACAGACGAGGAGCUUGCUCCUCUGACGUUAGCGGCGGACGGGUGAGUAACACGUGGAUAACCUACCUAUAAGACUGGGAUAACUUCGGGAAACCGGAGCUAAUACCGGAUAACAUAUUGAACCGCAUGGUUCAAUAGUGAAAGACGGUUUUGCUGUCACUUAUAGAUGGAUCCGCGCCGCAUUAGCUAGUUGGUAAGGUAACGGCUUACCAAGGCAACGAUGCGUAGCCGACCUGAGAGGGUGAUAGGCCACACUGGAACUGAGACACGGUCCAGACUCCUACGGGAGGCAGCAGUAGGGAAUCUUCCGCAAUGGGCGAAAGCCUGACGGAGCAACGCCGAGUGAGUGAAGAAGGUCUUCGGAUCGUAAAACUCUGUUAUUAGGGAAGAACAAAUGUGUAAGUAACUAUGCACGUCUUGACGGUACCUAAUCAGAAAGCCACGGCUAACUACGUG
Molecule: ribosomal RNA, 497 nt
Filed under: uncultured bacterium
Lineage: Bacteria
Description: partial 16S ribosomal RNA
Rfam family: Bacterial small subunit ribosomal RNA
Source: RNAcentral